Molecule: ribosomal RNA, 904 nt
Filed under: Penicillium manginii
Lineage: Eukaryota; Fungi; Ascomycota; Eurotiomycetes; Eurotiales; Aspergillaceae
Description: LSU rRNA
Rfam family: Eukaryotic large subunit ribosomal RNA
Source: RNAcentral
AGCAUAUCAAUAAGCGGAGGAAAAGAAACCAACCGGGAUUACCCUAGUAACGGCGAGUGAAGCGGUAAGAGCUCAAAUUUGAAAGCUGGCCCCUUCGGGGUCCGCAUUGUAAUUUGCAGAGGAUGCUUCGGGAGCGGUCCCCAUCUAAGUGCCCUGGAACGGGCCGUCAUAGAGGGUGAGAAUCCCGUAUGGGAUGGGGUGCCCGCGCCCGUGUGAAGCUCCUUCGACGAGUCGAGUUGUUUGGGAAUGCAGCUCUAAUUGGGUGGUAAAUUUCAUCUAAAGCUAAAUAUUGGCCGGAGACCGAUAGCGCACAAGUAGAGUGAUCGAAAGAUGAAAAGCACUUUGAAAAGAGAGUUAAACAGCACGUGAAAUUGUUGAAAGGGAAGCGCUUGCGAUCAGACUCGCUCGCGGGGUUCAGCCGGCCUUCGGGCCGGUGUACUUCCCCGCGGGCGGGCCAGCGUCGGUUUGGGCGGCCGGUCAAAGGCCCCUGGAAUGUAACGCCCUCUCGGGGCGUCUUAUAGCCCAGGGGUGCCAUGCGGCCUGCCCGGACCGAGGAACGCGCUUCGGCUCGGACGCUGGCAUAAUGGUCGUAAGCGACCCGUCUUGAAACACGGACCAAGGAGUCUAACAUCUACGCGAGUGUUCGGGUGUCAAACCCGUGCGCGCAGUGAAAGCGAACGGAGGUGGGAACCCCUCGGGGUGCACCAUCGACCGAUCCUGAUGUCUUCGGAUGGAUUUGAGUAAGAGCGUAGCUGUUGGGACCCGAAAGAUGGUGAACUAUGCCUGAAUAGGGCGAAGCCAGAGGAAACUCUGGUGGAGGCUCGCAGCGGUUCUGACGUGCAAAUCGAUCGUCAAAUUUGGGUAUAGGGGCGAAGACUAUCGACAUCUGGUAGCUGGUCUGCGA